CCGCGCUAGACGGGGAGGUAGCGGUGCCCUGUAGCCCGUAAUCCGCUAUAACGGGGUCGAUGCCUGUCCGAGGCGUGCUUUGUGUGAGGCUGGUCUGGAUCAUCCGUGUUGAUGAUCGGGUCCUGCGCAACGAUCACUUCCGAACCGUGUCAGGUCCUGACGGAAGCAGCACUAAGGGAGACCGGUCGUGUGCCGCAGGGGUGCUUGGUCUGAGCUGAUGGUUCAGGGGCCGCUCGGGCAAGACACGUCGGAGACAGGUGCGCGG
This 265-nucleotide signal recognition particle RNA is filed under the name Thermoactinomyces intermedius. Its description in RNAcentral is "signal recognition particle sRNA large type". It matches the Rfam family "Bacterial large signal recognition particle RNA". From Rfam's summary of the family: The signal recognition particle (SRP) is a universally conserved ribonucleoprotein involved in the co-translational targeting of proteins to membranes. Archaeal SRP consists of a 7S RNA and homologues of the eukaryotic SRP19 and SRP54 proteins. The record is from RNAcentral. Lineage: Bacteria; Bacillati; Bacillota; Bacilli; Caryophanales; Thermoactinomycetaceae.